ACGGGGUGCAGCAGGCGCGAAACCUCCACAAUUCACGAAAGUGAGAUGGGGUUACCUCGAGUGCCGUCUGAAGAAGGCGGCUUUUCCAUUGUGUAAUGAGCCGUGGGAAUAAGAGGGGGGCAAGACUGGUGUCAGCCGCCGCGGUAACACCAGCCCCUCGAGUGGUGGGGAUGAUUAUUUGGCCUAAAGCGUCCGUAGCCAGCUUUGUAAAUCUCCCGUUAAAUCCAACGUCCUAAGCGUUGGGCUGCGAGAGACACUGCAGAACUAGAGGGUGGGAGAGGUCAGCGGUAUUCCUGGGGUAGGGGCGAAAUCCAUUGAUCCCAGGAGGACCACCAGUGGCGAAGGCUGCUGACUUGAACACGCCUGACGGUCAGGGACGAAAGCUGGGGUAGCGAAUCGGAUUAGAUACCCGAGUAGUCCCAGCCGUAAACGAUGCAGGCUAGGUGUUGGGUUGGCCACGUGCCAGCUCAGUGCCACAGGGAAGCCAUUAAGCCUGCCGCCUGGGAGUACGCCGCAAGGC
Molecule: ribosomal RNA, 520 nt
Filed under: uncultured archaeon
Lineage: Archaea
Description: bacterial SSU rRNA
Rfam family: Archaeal small subunit ribosomal RNA
Source: RNAcentral